RNAcentral lists this long non-coding RNA (587 nucleotides) under Rhinopithecus bieti (black snub-nosed monkey). RNAcentral's name for it is "lncRNA (ENSRBIG00000045790.1)". Lineage: Eukaryota; Metazoa; Chordata; Mammalia; Primates; Cercopithecidae. The record is from RNAcentral.
AGGUUUGGACAUGCUGACCUCCUUGGUCACAGGCUGGAGAGAUGGAGAUCUCCUUCCUGGAGAUGUGGAGGCAGAUGGCCUCUCUUUACGGAAGAUUCAUGUGGGCUGUGAGGAAGAACUUCCUUUCUGGUCACUCAUCGAAUGCUGCUGAGAAUGCAGAGGCGGCUGGGCGGCUCCCUGCAAGUGAAGGCAUGAGAGAGGCCAUUUCUCCCUGCUCCAGAGCCUGGGAGAGGCGAUGGUGCCACCAGGACACACCUCAGGAGGCCACAGUCAGCACAGGAGCGCUACUACAGGGCCCACGAUUUUUAGAUGGGAAGAACAGUGGAGAACCAGACUGAGAAGCAGAAAAAAGGCAGGAUGAGGACCAGGGUUGCCUGGGGGACUAGGAGCCCCCCGCCUUCCCUCUCAGACAUCAGCACCAGAAGGAACGCCAUCCAGGUACUGUGUCUCACCUUGACUCUCUGGAUUGAGGGUCAUAUCUCCUGGCAGCUCAUCCCUUGGCCCAGCUUGGAAGUCAGAGACCUGCUGGAUGGGAGCAGGACACAGGGAAAGAAGAUUCUGCAAAACAGAGUCAUGCUGUUAGGGAG